CAUUUAGAUAUAGAUUGUAUAUUAAAAAAUCAAAAAAGAUUGAUUGAGUUUAAGUUUAUUUUAUAUUUUAUAAAAUUUAGUUGCGAGAAUCGCUUAAAACAUACUAACUAAAUCUGUAGAGUUAAGCGACGCAUUUAGAUGUUUAAGAUUAGAGUAUCAUUAACUAACUCAAAUCUAAUAUAUAGAAAAGUUGGAUAAUAAAAAUAAAAUUUUGAAAGAUUAGAUUUACACUUUUCGUCCUUAAAACUAUAAGACGAGUGACACUUUAAUCCUUGAACUUUAAUGUGUUAUGAUUUAAACUAUGAGGCAUGUGACACUUUGAUCCUCAAACUUUAAUUAGUUGCAAUUUCUGACUUGAAAUAUAAGGUAUAUUAUUUUAGUUCUCAAUCAAUGUUUAUUGCUGCUAUAAAUAUAAUUUCUUAUUCGUAUUGUUUUUUUUCUUUAUUUUUUUAAUCUUUUUUAUAACUUAUUUUUAUAUUUUUAUUACAGCAAUAGUUGCUUAUUUAAUUUUCAAUUGCUUUUUUUUUUUUUUGCUAUUUUUUAUAUUAUUUAUAUAUUUAUUUUUACAAAAUCAUCUCGCCGUAAUGCACGGAUCCUUUGCUAGUAUAUAU
This 611-nucleotide long non-coding RNA is filed under the name Ananas comosus (pineapple). RNAcentral's name for it is "long non-coding RNA (ACOM_LNC037918)". Lineage: Eukaryota; Viridiplantae; Streptophyta; Magnoliopsida; Poales; Bromeliaceae. The record is from RNAcentral.